This is a non-coding RNA of Phyllosticta citriasiana, 86 nucleotides long. Lineage: Eukaryota; Fungi; Ascomycota; Dothideomycetes; Botryosphaeriales; Phyllostictaceae. The record is from the annotation of a GenBank genome assembly.
GCGUUGGUGGUUUAGUGGUAAAAUUCAUCGUUGCCAUUUCCCGCAGCAUCUUCGAUGAGCCCCGGGUUCGAUUCCCGGCCGACGCA